This 1277-nucleotide ribosomal RNA is filed under the name uncultured bacterium. RNAcentral's name for it is "partial 16S ribosomal RNA". It matches the Rfam family "Bacterial small subunit ribosomal RNA", at positions 284 to 1533 of the family's 1533-position model. The record is from RNAcentral.
GCCCUCCACACAAGGGGCGCCGAACUACUACUCUCUCUAUUGUAGCACUGCGCGCACCUUGCAGAGAGGGGAUUCCGGCCACCUGGACUUGGACCGGUCCAGAUCUUCCUCUCCGGGAAGGCACCAUCGGGAAUAUUGCCCCACUGGGGGCAAAGCCCUGAUGCAGCAACCCCGCUGGAGUGAAGAAGCCCUUCGGUUGUAAAACUUCUUUCCUUAUGGGAAGAAAAAAAUGACGGUACCAUAGGAGGAAGCCCCGGCUAACUACGUGCCAGCAGCCGCGGUAAUACGUAGGGGGCAAGCGUUAUCCGGAAUCACCGGGCGUAAAGGGUGCGUAGGUGGCUUAUCAAGCCAGGGGUGAAAGGCGUUGGCUCAACCAAUGUAAGCCUUUGGAACUGAUAGGCUUGAGUGCAGGAGAGGUAAGUGGAAUUCCUAGUGUAGAGGUGAAAUUCGUAGAUAUUAGGAGGAACACCAGUGGCGAAGGCGACUUACUGGACUGUAACUGACACUGAGGCACGAAAGCGUGGGUAGCGAACAGGAUUAGAUACCCUGGUAGUCCACGCCGUAAACGAUGAAUACUAGGUGUCGGGCGUCAAAACUCGGUGCCGCAGCAAACGCAUUAAGUAUUCCGCCUGGGGAGUACGCACGCAAGUGUGAAACUCAAAGGAAUUGACGGGGACUCGCACAAGCAGCGGAGCAUGUGGUUUAAUUCGAAGCAACGCGAAGAACCUUACCAGGUCUUGACAUCCCUCUGAAGUAUGCAUAGCCGCAUAUGUCCUUCGGGACAGGGGAGACAGGUGGUGCAUGGUUGUCGUCAGCUCGUGUCGUGAGAUGUUGGGUUAAGUCCCGCAACGAGCGCAACCCUUGUGUUUAGUUGCCACCAGGUUAAGCUGUGCACUCUAAACAGACUGCCGUGGAUAACACGGAGGAAGGUGGGGAUGACGUCAAAUCAUCAUGCCCCUUAUGAUCUGGGCUACACACGUGCUACAAUGGUCGGUACAACGGGCAGCGAAAGAGUAAUCUGGAGCGAAUCCUAAAAAGCCGAUCCCAGUUCGGAUUGUGGGCUGAAACUCGCCCACAUGAAGUUGGAGUUGCUAGUAAUCGCGGAUCAGAAUGUCGCGGUGAAUGCGUUCCCGGGUCUUGUACACACCGCCCGUCACACCAUGGGAGUUGUCAAUACCCGAAGCCAGUGAGCUAACCGUUUACGGAGGCAGCUGUCGAAGGUAGGGGCGAUGACUGGGGUGAAGUCGUAACAAGGUAACCGUAGAAUCGUCGACCUG